This 253-nucleotide ribosomal RNA is filed under the name uncultured bacterium. Its description in RNAcentral is "partial 16S ribosomal RNA". It matches the Rfam family "Bacterial small subunit ribosomal RNA", at positions 524 to 776 of the family's 1533-position model. The record is from RNAcentral.
UACGUAGGGGGCAAGCGUUGUCCGGAAUCAUUGGGCGUAAAGCGUGCGUAGGUGGUUCGUUAAGUCUGAUGUGAAAGCCCUGGGCUCAACCUGGGAAUGGCAUUGGAAACUGGCGACCUAGAGUGCGGUAGAGGGUAGUGGAAUUCCCGGUGUAGCAGUGAAAUGCGUAGAGAUCGGGAGGAACAUCCGUGGCGAAGGCGACUACCUGGACCAGCACUGACACUGAGGCACGAAAGCGUGGGGAGCAAACAGG